GAUGAACGCUGGCGGCGUGCCUAAUACAUGCAAGUCGAGCGAACGGACGAGAAGCUUGCUUUUCUGAUGUUAGCGGCGGACGGGUGAGUAACACGUAGAUAACCUACCUAUAAGACUGGGAUAACUUCGGGAAACCGGAGCUAAUACCGGAUAAUAUUUUGAACCGCAUGGUUCAAAAGUGAAAGACGGUCUUGCUGUCACUUAUAGAUGGAUCCGCGCUGCAUUAGCUAGUUGGUAAGGUAACGGCUUACCAAGGCAACGAUGCAUAGCCGACCUGAGAGGGUGAUCGGCCACACUGGAACUUAGACACGGUCCAGACUCCUACGGGAGGCAGCAGUAGGGAAUCUUCCGCAAUGGGCGAAAGCCUGACGGAGCAACGCCGCGUGAGUGAUGAAGGUCUUCGGAUCGUAAAACUCUGUUAUUAGGGAAGAACAUAUGUGUAAGUAACUGUGCACAUCUUGACGGUACCUAAUCAGAAAGCCACGGCUAACUACGUG
Molecule: ribosomal RNA, 497 nt
Filed under: uncultured bacterium
Lineage: Bacteria
Description: partial 16S ribosomal RNA
Rfam family: Bacterial small subunit ribosomal RNA
Source: RNAcentral